CUUGGUCAUUUAGAGGAAGUAAAAGUCGUAACAAGGUUUCCGUAGGUGAACCUGCGGAAGGAUCAUUAUCGAAAUUAUUGGUGAGGGUUGUAGCUGGCCUUUCGAGGCAUGUGCACGCUCGAGCCCUUAAUCCACUUUACACCUGUGCACUUAAUGUAGGUCGCCCUUAAAAAAGGUGACCUAUGUCUUAUCAUCAACCCAUCGUAUGUCUCAUAGAAUGUAAUCGAUAUCCUCGCCCUAAAAAAGCGUUGAUAAACUUAUACAACUUUCAACAACGGAUCUCUUGGCUCUCGCAUCGAUGAAGAACGCAGCGAAAUGCGAUAAGUAAUGUGAAUUGCAGAAUUCAGUGAAUCAUCGAAUCUUUGAACGCACCUUGCGCUCCUUGGUAUUCCGAGGAGCAUGCCUGUUUGAGUGUCAUUAAUAUAUAUCAACCUUCUCUUUACUGAGUGGUUUGGAUGUGGGGGUUUGCUGGCCUCUUAUAUGAGUUCAGCUCCCCUGAAAUGCAUUAGCAGAACAACCCGUUCGUUGGCGUGAUAACUAUCUACGCUAUUGAAUGUGAGGGACAGUUCAGCUUUCUAACAGUCCUUGGACAACUUAUCAUUUAUGUGACCUCAAAUCAGGUAGGACUACCCGCUGAACUUAAGCAUAUCAAUAAGCGGAGGA
RNAcentral lists this ribosomal RNA (663 nucleotides) under uncultured Cortinariaceae. RNAcentral describes it as "eukaryotic LSU rRNA". The stretch from base 264 to 417 matches the Rfam family "5.8S ribosomal RNA". The record is from RNAcentral. Lineage: Eukaryota; Fungi; Basidiomycota; Agaricomycetes; Agaricales; Cortinariaceae.